GUCUCUUUGAUUAAUUUAUAUAAAGAGUUGAGCCUGCCCAGUGAUACAUAUUUAACGGCCGCGGUACUCUGACCGUGCAAAGGUAGCAUAAUCAUUUGCCUUAUAAUUGAAGGCUCGUAUGAAUGGUUUGACGAAAACAAAACUGUCUCUUUUUAAUUUUUUAGAACUUGAUUUUUAGGUGAAGAAGCCUAAAUAUAAUUGAAAGACAAGAAGACCCUAUCGAGCUUUAAAAAAUUUUAUUAAAACAAAAGUUACAAAAACUAAUUAUAAUAAAAGAUUUUAGUUGGGGCGACUAAGGAACAAAAAAGCUUCCGGUUUUAUAUUAUAAGCAUAUUAGUCUUGAUCCAAAAUUUUUGAUUAAAAAAAUUAGUUACCGUAGGGAUAACAGCAUAAUCUUUUUUGAGAGCUCUUAUCGAAAAAAAGGUUUGUGACCUCGAUGUUGGACUAGAAUAUCCCAAAUGGCGCAGAAGUCUUUAAUGGUUGGUCUGUUCGACCACUAAUAUUCUACGUGAUCUGAGUUCAGACCGG
This 528-nucleotide ribosomal RNA is filed under the name Hemistomia minor. Its description in RNAcentral is "partial 16S ribosomal RNA". It matches the Rfam family "Bacterial large subunit ribosomal RNA", at positions 1817 to 2619 of the family's 2925-position model. Lineage: Eukaryota; Metazoa; Mollusca; Gastropoda; Littorinimorpha; Tateidae. The record is from RNAcentral.